CAGGAAUCACGAGUAGCCGUCUUGAUGUAACAGCAAGAGGUAGCUUUAUUUGCGGGAUCCCGGGUCGAUACGUAUCCCACACAGGAGACAGAGGAAUCGACCCCGAGCUCCCAAACUCAGGGGUUUUUAUAGGGGAGGGCUAUCUGAGAGGUGCCUGGUCCCAUGCUGCACGGAAGUGAGACAUCCAGGUGACCACUGUGCUGACAAAGCUGGGAUCACAUUGCCAGUCCACCACUGGGAUCUACUCAGUAGUCACGAGAUUCCCCGAAGCUGGGCCUGCUGGGCUCUGUCAGCGUCCAGCAUCCAUCGACGAGCACCCAGGUGUCUCUGCAUCAUCGCCCUGUGAUGCUUCUAAGUCUCACCUACCAGGAUGCUCCUGCAGCAAGGAGGUCAGGCCUUCCAGAGGGCUGCCUGGGGCUUAAGUCGACGGUGGACUUCAUCACCACUACUUUACGGUACAUGCAGGUGCUGAACACCUUGACUUUUGGACACCGGUUUACUCAAGGCCGUCAAGGUUGAAAUGCACCUGUCUUAGCUGGAUGGUGGUGGCACAUGCUUUAGUCAGGAGGAAGAAGACGGGGAUCUCAGUUCUGGGAUAUCCUGGUCUACAGAGCUGUAGAUGUCCCGCUCUUGUCUUGCACCCCAGCCAAAUCCCAUUACCGACCUGAGGGCCAGGAACAGCAGUGUGUCUAUGCAACUUCCUCCAGGGACAUUUCCGGGCAGCCCAGGCCAUCUUCAGUGUUCCAUGAAUCCCAGUUUAAGAAAGAGCACGUGCGACCUGCCUGACUGGAAUUUGUUUGUGUACAAGAAGAGACGGGGACAGAGACACAGACAGAACCUCACAGUGCAUGGACGUCAAGGAGUCAUCAGGAUGCGAGGCCAGAUCUCCAACCCAGGCUGGCCAGAGUCUCCGGGAGGUCCUCGUUGGUUUUGUCUGAUUAGCUAGCCUGUUCCAGAGGCUGAAGCCAGCACUGAAUCCAUGGAAUGAACUUCCCAGAGUUGUGCAUUAUGGGUUGGGGAACAUGGGGUCUAAUGGUGCCCUUCCUGCCUCUGAGAGGGAUAGGACACUCCUCUCUUCUCAAAUCAGACAGGAAAAAAAUGUCUGUCCUCAGAGAGCUUAGUGUUGCUCAGGGGACAGAGUAGAUAAGAAAGAGGAAUGUGUUUCCCAGGGGCAGAAUACUACUGGGACAGGGUGUUGAACUCAGCAGAUAUCCCAGCAGGGUGACUAUGCCAGGAACCUUGUUGUCCUGUGUUCAAAUUAGGAGAGACCGUUGGUCGGAGGGACCAUCCAUGUCAGUCACACGGGCUUCUGUGUGCCUCAGGCUGUGACAGAUGUUGGCACAGUCUAGGGAGAAAGAACACAGGAGAUGACAUCUUACCAAUGUGACAGUGGGAGGGACAGGGAAAGCUUCCCAGAAGCUCUCACAGGAUGUGGGAGGCUGCUUACCAGGGCAAGAGCAAGUAAUGUGCAAAUACUCCGAGAAAUGCAAGCAGCUUUCUGAGUUGUCCAGUUGCGUGCAGACUCCAGGAAGAGAGAUGAAGUUGUCAGGAGACAGGGCCUCAGCAGGUUGCUGCCCUAUCAUGAGGGGCUCAAGUUUCAGCCUGGUUAUAAUAGGCACUACUGGCUUAUGGUGUGGCAGGUGGUGGUGAGUGUGGACUUACGUUGUUAAUGUGAAAUGUGAAUGUUGGCCUUGAAGGAACAAGCUUAGAGAGGCAGGCAGUGGGUUAUUAGAGGGCAGAUUUGGUGGAGAGAGAGGGCACAGCUGCCCCUGCAGUCACUCCACAGCUGUGGUUUUCAUGUGUUUGCUCUGAGGUGGGUCUGAGGCCUCAAGCAAUGUGACCUGUGAUGGGAUGGGGGUGCGGGAGCAGGGGAGGGCAUGUAUAACGUUGGCAGGAGACUGCCCUGUAGAGGAGUCCCACAUGGGCACUUGCAGGCCUCAUUCUUAACCUGGGAACCUGUUUGGGGGCAGUCAGGACAGGCUGACUAGGGAGACUUCUCUGGGGAGAGAAGGCUACCUCCUGAACAAGACCAGGUUUCCUGCAAGAAAUGGAGCAAAUGACAUUACCUUCCCAUAACACAUGAGGAGACAUGUGUGACUGUUCUUUGCUUCCUGUUUGCCCAGGCUGGGGGAGAGAGCAUGGGAUACUGCUCCACAUACAGUUUUAGGACACUUUUACCCUUCAGCCCUCUCCUCUGAGCAAGACCCAGUAAAAUCCGUGCCUCGUUGUC
Non-coding RNA from Rattus norvegicus (Norway rat), 2230 nucleotides. NCBI's taxonomy places the organism in Eukaryota, Metazoa, Chordata, Mammalia, Rodentia, Muridae. The record is from RefSeq and is a predicted model, not a curated record.